UAGGAGUGCCAGAGGCUUAUAAUGGGAAAGAUUUAGGAUCUUUUUAUGAUGUGUUGACCAUCCUUCUGC
This 69-nucleotide transfer RNA is filed under the name Glypthelmins quieta. RNAcentral's name for it is "tRNA-Leu". The record is from RNAcentral. Lineage: Eukaryota; Metazoa; Platyhelminthes; Trematoda; Plagiorchiida; Plagiorchiidae.